Molecule: long non-coding RNA, 1176 nt
Filed under: Homo sapiens (human)
Lineage: Eukaryota; Metazoa; Chordata; Mammalia; Primates; Hominidae
Description: HSALNT0133688
Source: RNAcentral
AAGAACUUACUGAUUGAAGUUGUGGUCAUCUGCUGAUAAGCCGGCGAGCGAGAAGCACUCAGACACAAAGGAACCCAUUGAAACGUGUAUGUCUUCUCAAGAUGCUGUUUGUUUUCCUGUAGGAAGACUUCAUCCUCUCCACUCUCAUCAAGACGCACAGGGGAAAAUGUCCCCGAGCUAGUGCCAGGCCUCUCUGAAGGAGCUUUCCAGGAUUCAUCCCAAACAUUCUCAGUUAAACUACUUGAAUUACACAAACCAGCUGAUGAGAUGAGAUGGCGUGGCACUUUGGAAGACUCUUUGCUGUCAGGAGAGGCUGUUCUUUGCAGUGAUGUCUCAAAAUCUAUAGGAUGCUGGGUCUCUCUCUUGUCUCCUCCUGUCCACAGUAUUUCCACUCCUUGAAAUUCCACAUGUUUGACCCGGCCUGGGCGUCCCAUGGAGCUGCUUCGAUCACAUCCCCCUGGGUGCUCUCUCCCAAGAGCAGACCUCUGCUCUUUCAAGAAACCAACACUGCCUGCAGAGUGGCAGGUCACUGCUGAGCUCCCGAGGGAGGCCAAAGGACAAGAUGGCUCCUGCACACAGACAGCCCCUUUCCUCCCAUUAUUCAUUAUCUGGGAAAUCUCUGCCUGAGUGUCUCCAGUUAACAGCGCGGUGAGAUCUUUCUGGAUGCUCAAAUAAAAACUUUCCUCCGUUGUUACUUCAGCUGAAAGAGGUAUUUCUGGUAAAUUUUUUUGGCCAGCAGGGAGCGUUUUGUUGACUCUCUGUGUUUUACGACUGGCAGUGUCCAGCUCUUUUUCCACCUGCUGAACUGAAAAACUAGAAACAGCAUCUUGGUCCAGUACCUUUGUAGCCUGUAAUGUUCCGGAAAUGAUUCUGGCUUCUGUGGCUUUCAGAGCUGAAAUCAAAGAGUCAAUGGGCUGUAAACUUUGUUCCUUGAGAUGACUUUGAGAGGGGGCCUCUCUGACAUCUUUUGGUCCUUCUGUAACACUGUCGAGCCCAGAGUGGCAGCCAGUAAGAGGCUGGACACCCUGCUGCUCUUGUGGGUGGCAUGGCAGAGCCUCACCAUCAAAUUCCAGAGAAGCCCUUAGGCCUUCUCCACCUUCCUCCAUGGUCCCAUAUUCUGGAAAUUCAUUUGUGACAUUUGGUGGGAGUAAAGUGCUUCCUCCAUGAUCACCUGUG